This is a long non-coding RNA of Wyeomyia smithii (pitcher-plant mosquito), 572 nucleotides long. RefSeq lists it as uncharacterized. The record is from RefSeq and is a predicted model, not a curated record. The transcript has 4 exons. Lineage: Eukaryota; Metazoa; Arthropoda; Insecta; Diptera; Culicidae.
AGUUAUAGUUUUUUCUGGCCAAACGUAUUCAUGCAAUAUUGAGACCCAUCGUACCACUUUUACCUUACCGUUAGCCAACAAAGUAGAAGUAACUCCUGAUUAAAAUAUGCACCAAUAAGUAUCCUUCAUACUUUCAAUAAACUAUGUUCAAGACGUUUCACAAGAAGCAAAACUAGUCAGACAGCAGAACUUAACCGUAAUGAGAAGCAAAUGGCAUCGCAGCGCAGAAGCCACAUUCAAAUCCAUCGUUCUUAACAGUGAUAAGCGAAUAAAAUUGUUAUCACCAAAGUCUACCCGUUGACGUCGCGCAUAUGUGGCCAUUUUCUUUACUGGCUACAGCGGUUCAAAUGCAGGGCAAAAAUUACCAUAACUAAUCAGUUCCCCAGUGACCACGGCAGCAGAAGGCCGUCGAACCAAAAAACCCGUAACCAUUUGGAAGGAAAUUUAAUAUAAGACGAUCUGCAGUGGUUCGAUUUCUGUCAGUAUCCUAUUGAUCAUCGUUCGGAAGCAGUGCCUCGUAACGUUUCUAAUAAUACCGGAAUCGGAACUCGGCGAACACAUGGCGUACUGGA